Molecule: non-coding RNA, 650 nt
Organism: Megalopta genalis
Lineage: Eukaryota; Metazoa; Arthropoda; Insecta; Hymenoptera; Halictidae
Source: RefSeq, a predicted model, not a curated record
UUUUAUUCGGUUGACGCAGUCAAACUGAAUUGGCGUGAUCAAAUCUUUUUCCCUCGAAGCAUACAGUUCCUGUUCAGAAAAUCGGCUUGAUGCAUUUUUUAUCAGCAAUUCAGACUGCGGCUUUUAUGCAUUUAUAGGAAAAAUGUAUGUAAAAAUGUUGAUAUGUUAAUUAGAACUUAUUAAAAUUAUUUAAGAGAGAAACAAGAUUGCACUUGGCUCCUACAUCUUGCAAUUGAUGCACACAAUUUUGAUUUUGCUUAAUGAUUCGCGGUCCAGUCAUUACUAUUAUUGUAGUUUAAUUUCAUUUACGGUAGCGGAAUAUAGAAUCAGGAAACAACAAGAGGAGACCUUCGCAUACACGCUAUCGAUAUUCAUUCGCAUUUACGUAUGUAUCACAUUGCGAUAAUAACAACGGAAGGAGCAACGUAUGUUUGCUACAAGUAUAACGCGUUGGCUCGGUGUAGCGAUCAAAUCGUUACUAGAAUUUUCAAAAAGGAGGAUACACGUGUUGGACAAUCUGAAAAGAAAACGUUGUUAUCAUUACAUUGCGUUUCAACUGGACCGAUCAUUUGGUGGAGAUCGACACCUUAUUACGACGCAAGAAUAAAUAAUGUAUGUUUUAAUAAAAAUGCUGCAUCUAGUAUUUUAAA